ACAUCAAUGCAGCAAUGCGAUUUGACUGUUGUCUCUGGACUCGGUCUAAACGUAGCCAGAUAGUGGCCUGUGCAGGCUAGCCCGAGUGCUAAGCAUUCUCUGAGCUAGUCUAUGUGGGCUGCCCAAUAUCUAUCU
This 135-nucleotide unclassified non-coding RNA is filed under the name uncultured Agaricales. RNAcentral's name for it is "sequence contains ITS2". Lineage: Eukaryota; Fungi; Basidiomycota; Agaricomycetes; Agaricales. The record is from RNAcentral.